Molecule: transfer RNA, 90 nt
Filed under: Burkholderiaceae bacterium
Lineage: Bacteria; Pseudomonadati; Pseudomonadota; Betaproteobacteria; Burkholderiales; Burkholderiaceae
Description: tRNA-Ser
Source: RNAcentral
GGAUGCGUGCCGGAGAGGCCUAUCGGCGCUGUUUCGAAAACAGAUGGUCGCGCAAGCGGCACGAGCGUUCGAUUCGCUCCGCAUCCGCCA